Molecule: transfer RNA, 76 nt
Filed under: Microbacterium sp.
Lineage: Bacteria; Bacillati; Actinomycetota; Actinomycetes; Micrococcales; Microbacteriaceae
Also listed under: 2 other names
Description: tRNA-Thr
Rfam family: tRNA
About the family: Transfer RNA (tRNA) molecules are approximately 80 nucleotides in length.
Source: RNAcentral
GCCGGCUUAGCUCAGUUGGUAGAGCACCGCUCUUGUAAAGCGGGGGUCGUGGGUUCGAGCCCCUCAGCCGGCACCA